RNAcentral lists this ribosomal RNA (504 nucleotides) under uncultured Alphaproteobacteria bacterium. RNAcentral's name for it is "bacterial SSU rRNA". It matches the Rfam family "Bacterial small subunit ribosomal RNA", at positions 1001 to 1505 of the family's 1533-position model. Lineage: Bacteria; Pseudomonadati; Pseudomonadota; Alphaproteobacteria. The record is from RNAcentral.
GCAGAGNGCACUCCUUCAGUUCGGCUGGACCGGAGACAGGUGCUGCAUGGCUGUCGUCGGCUCGUGUCGUGAGAUGUUGGGUUAAGUCCCGCAACGAGCGCAACCCUCGGCCUUAGUUGCCAUCAUUCAGUUGGGCACUCUAAGGCGACUGCCGGUGAUAAGCCGGAGGAAGGUGGGGAUGACGUCAAGUCCUCAUGGCCCUUACGGGCUGGGCUACGCACGUGCUACAAUGGCGGUGACAGAGGGACGCAAAAGGGCGACCUUUCGCAAAUCUCAAAAAGCCGUCUCAGUUCGGAUUGGGGUCUGCAACUCGACCCCAUGAAGUUGGAAUCGCUAGUAAUCGCAGAUCAGCACGCUGCGGUGAAUACGUUCCCGGGCCUUGUACACACCGCCCGUCACACCAUGGGAGUUGGGUUUACCUUAAGACGGUGCGCCAACCGCAAGGAGGCAGCCGGCCACGGUAGGCUCAGCGACUGGGGUGAAGUCGUAACAAGGUAGCCGUAA